Non-coding RNA from Xyrichtys novacula (pearly razorfish), 7660 nucleotides. Lineage: Eukaryota; Metazoa; Chordata; Actinopteri; Labriformes; Labridae. The record is from the annotation of a GenBank genome assembly.
UGGUGGGGGGGGGGGGGCGCGACACAGCUCGGGCCCGCCAGUGCCCCAACGGGGCCCUAGUCUUCUUCUUAUUAUUUUUCUGCCCCUUUGAACUGGAAAAUGGCCCACUUCCCACUGGCGAAAACUCAUGAAAUUUGGCAGGACGACCGGGCCUGGUGAAAAAUUCGAUAUUCUGAAGUCGCCCAAACAAUAAAAUGCAAAACGGCUCCAUAGCGCCCCCUAAGGUGAAAAUUCACACUAUUGACUGUCACGCCUGUACGCUUUGUCAUAUUGACACAAAAAUUGACACACACGUGUAUCUCAAUAAGAUCUACAAAAAAGUCAGUGCGGGCGUAUCUGUCGAAUGUAUGGUUAAAGGGUUAUUUCGCAUUUUUUGCCGAUCCGCACACAUUGGAAUUUCGCUAACUCCUCCGAAGGCUUUCGUUCCACUGGCACCACAUUUGCUCAGGCCAAUCUACACCCCAUGGCCAUUAAAAGUUGUACAAAUCAUGACGCUGCACCCCACGGUUUAGGUUCUAGGGGGCGCCAAAGAUAACCCAAAAAUCCACAGUCUUAAAAGUCUUAUAACUUUUUAUUUUUGUCCUCACUGGCCUCCAAGUUCUCUAGGAUGUUGCAAUGUCCAGCAAUUAACACAUUUGUGAAGGAAUUUUUACUCGCCAAAAGAGUGCCCCCCCAUGGCAGGAGAAAAAAGUCCAUUUUUUCUUGUCUCCUAAGGUGAAAAUACACAUUGUCGAGUGUCACGCUUGUACGCUUUGUCAUAUUUACACACAAUUUGACAACCACUUGAAUCUCAAUAAGAUCUACGAAAAAGUCAAUGUGCGCGUAUCUGUCAAAUGUACGGUUAAAGGGUUAUUCUGCAUUUUUUGCAAAUUUGCACACAUUGGAAUUUUUCUAAGUCCUCCGAAGGCUUUUGUCCCACUGACACCACAUUUGCUCAGGCCAAUCUACACUCCAUGGCCAUUCAAAGUUGUACAAAUCAUGACGCUGCACCCCACGGUUUAGGUUCUAGGGGGCACCAAAGAUAACCCAAAAAUCCACAGUCUUAAAAGUCUUAUAACUUUUUAUUUUUGUCCUCAGUGGCCUCCAAGUUGUCUAGGAUGAUGCAAUGUCCAGCAAUUAACACAUUUGUGAAGGAAAUUUUACUCGCCAAAAGAGUGCCCCCCCAUGGCAGGAGAAAAAAGUCCAUUUUUUCUUGUCUCCUAAGGUGAAAAUACACAUUGUCGAGUGUCACGCCUGUACGCUUUGUCAUAUUUACACACAAUUUGACAACCACAUGAAUCUCAAUAAGAUCUAUGAAAAAGUCAAUGUGCGCGUAUCUGUCAAAUGUACGGUUAAAGGGUUAUUCUGCAUUUUUUGCAGAUUUGCACACAUUGGAAUUUUGCUAACUCCUCCGAAGGCUUUUGUCCCACUGACACCAAAUUUGCUCAGGCCAAUCUACACUCCAUGGCCAUUCAAAGUUGUACAAAUCAUGACGCUGCACCCCACGGUUUACGUUCUAGGGGGCGCCAAAGAUAACCCAAAAAUCCACAGUCUUAAAAGUCUUAUAACUUUUUAUUUUUUUCCUCACUGGCCUCCAAGUUCUCUAGGAUGAUGCAAUGUCCAGCCAUCAACACAUUUGUGAAGGAAUUUUUACUCCCCAAAAGAGCGCCCCCCCAUGGCAGGAGAAAAAAGUCCAUUUUUUCUUGUCCCCUAAGGUGAAAAUACACAUUGUUGAGUGUCACGCCUAUACGCUUUGUCAUAUUGACCCAAAAUUUGACAAUCACGUGUAUCUCAAUAAGAUCUACGAAAAAGUCAAUGGGCACGUAUCUGUAAAAUGUACGGUUAAAGGGCUAUUUUGCAUUUUUUCCCGAUCCGCACACAUUGGAAUUUCGCUAACUCCUCCGAAGGCUUUAGUUCCACCGCCACCAAAUUUGCUCAGGCCAAUCUACACCCCAUGGCCAUUAAAAGUUGUACAAAUCAUGACGCUGCACUCCACGGUUUAGGUUCUAGGGGGCGCCAAAGAUAACCCAAAAAUCCACAUUCUUAAUAGUCUUAUAACUUUUUAUUUUUGUCCUCACUGGCCUCCAAGUUUUCUAGGAUGAUGCAAUGUCCAGCCAUCAACACAUUUGUGAAGGAAUUUUUACUCCCGAAAAGAGCGCCCCCCAUGGCAGGAGAAAAAAGUCCAUUUUUUCUUGUCCCCUAAGGUGAAAAAACACAUUGUUGACUGUCACGCCUAUACACUUUGUCAAAAUGACACAAAAUUUGACACACACGUGUAUCUCAAUAAGAUCUACGAAAAAGUCAAUGGGCACGUAUCUGUAAAAUGUACGGUUAAAGGGCUAUUUCGCAUUUUUUGCCGAUUCGCACACAUUGGAAUGUGGCUAACUCCUCCUAAGGCUUUCUUCCUACCAACACCAAAUUUGCUCAAGCCGAUCUACAUCCCAUGGCCAUUCAAAGUUGUAAAAAUCAUGCCGCUGCACCCCAUGGUUUACGUUCUAGGGGGCGCCAAAGAUGACCCAAAUAUCCACAUUCUUAAAAGAAUCCACAUCCCCCCCCCCAAGGCAGGAGAAAAAGUCCAGUUAACCCUGCCCAUCGCUCAAUGGCUCAAUCGCAUCGCUCUCCUGGCAACACCGUAAGGAGGAGCAACUUGCCAUUUGGAUGUAUCCUAGCUGUGUUUGUGCCCUCACUCAUGGUCCAGACUUUUUUCAAAUAGGACAUGUAGUUUGUCUGCAGCGACCGUUUUGGUAGAAACUGCGCCUCCCAUUCAUUAUAAUGGGAAAUGACCACAGACAAGUGCGCGCACCAUCUUUGGACCUUGAGUGUGAUGCGAUCUUGAGGGGGAGGCGGUCGCGCUGGGGGCGGCGCGACGCGGCUCGGGCCCGACAGUGCCCCACCGGGGCCCUAGUUAGGGCCCGAGCGUAGCUGCUAAGCAGCUGCGAGAGCCCUCUUGUUCCUGCAUGUUUCCUUCUUUCGUUAUUAUUUUUCCUCCGCUUCAAACUGGAAAAUGGCCCACUUCCCACUGGCGAAAACUCAGGAAAUUUGGCAGGACGACCGGGCCUGGUGAAAAAUUCGAUAUUCUGAAGUCGCCCAAACAAUAAAAUGCAAAAUGGCUCCAUAGCGCCCCCUAAGGUGAAAAUUCACAUGACGGCUGUACGCUUUGUCAUAUUGACACAAAAAUUGACACACACAUGUAUCUCAAUAAGAUCUACAAAAAAGUCAGUGCGGGCGUAUCUGUCAAAUGUACGGUUAAUGGGUUAUUUUGCAUUUUUUGCAGAUCUGCACACAUUGGAAUUUCGCUAACUCCUCCGAAGGCUUUCGUUCGACCGGCACCACAUUUGCGCAGGCCAAUCUACCCCCCAUGGCCAUUAAAAGUUGUACAAAUCAUGACGCUGCACCCCACGGUUUACGUUCUAGGGGGCGCCAAAGAUAACCCAAAAAUCCACAUUCUUAAAAGUCUUAUAACUUUUUACUUUUGUCCUCACUGGCCUCCAAGUUUUCUAGGAUGAUGCAAUGUCCAGCCAUCAACACAUUUGUGAAGGAAUUUUUACUCCCCAAAAGAGCGCCCCCCAAUGGCAGGAGAAAAAGGUCCAUUUUUUCUUGUCUCCUAAGGUGAAAAUACACAUCGUCGAGUGUCACGCCAGUAUGCUUUGUCAUAUUGACACAAAAUUUGACAAUCACGUGUAUCUCAAUAAGAUCUAUGAAAAAGUCAAAAGGCAUGUAUCUGUCAAAUGUACGGUUAAAGGGCUAUUUUGCAUUUUUUGCCGAUCCGCACACAUUGGAAUUUCGCUAACUCCUCCGAAGGCUAUCUUUCCACCGGCACCAAAUUUGCUCAGGCCAAUCUACACCCCAUGGCCAUUAAAAGUUGUACAAAUCAUCUUGCUGCACCCCACGGUUUGGGUUCUAGGGGGCACCAAAGAUAACCCUAAAAUCCACAUUCUUAAAAGUCUUAUAACUUUUUAUUUUUUUCCAUACUGGCCUCCAAGUUUUUUAGGAUGAUGCAAUGUCCAGCCAUCAACACAUUUGUGAAGAAAUUUUUACUCCCCAAAAGAGCGCCCCCCCCAUGGCAGGAGAAAAAAGUCCAUUUUUUCUUAUCCCGAAAGGUGAAAAUACACGUUGUUGAGUGUCACGCCUUUACGCUUUGUCAUAUUGACAAAAAAUUUGACAAUCACGUGUAUCUCAAUAAGAUCUAUGAAAAAGUCAAUGGGCACGUAAGUGUAAAAUGUACAGUUAAAGGGCUAUUUUGCAUUUUUUGGCGAUUCGCACACAUUGGAAUUUCGCUAAGUCCUCCUAAGGUUUUCGUCCCACUGACACCAAAUUUGCUCAGGCCAAUCUACACUCCAUGGCCAUUCAAAGUUGUAAAAAUCAUGACGCUGCACCCCACGGUUUACGUUUUAGGGGGCGCCAAAGAUGACCCAAAUAUACAUUACAGUAGACAAAGUAGUUUUGCCCACUGAGUGGCGCCAAAGGGACUUGUCUGUGGAGUCUGUGAGUCACUAUUGGCCGUUUUUGACUACUUUAGAUUUUACCUUUAUAUUUCCUCUUACAAUAUUUUUACCUUGCCUUGCCUGGUAUCAUUUUUUUCAGCACAACCUCACCUGUGUCAAUUUACAGUUAUUUUAUCAUUUUGACAUACUAUAUUUACACAUUGGACCCAAAUUCACACACAAAACAUAAAAUCUGAGUGGAAAAAAGUAACGUUUUACUGUGAAAACCACAAAUAUGUGUGAUGAACUGUUUUUAAAACUUAAACUUCAAAUGAAAAUUGUAAACUUCAAAACAUAUGCAAAUUUUUAACAAAGAACAUAGUAAUUUACCUCUAUUUACAUCAAAAUGCAGGCAAUGGACCAGGCGUUCUUUGUAAAAUUAUUUACAAAACACUGUAUAGUCUCACAAAUGUCACUUUUUAUUUAUGCCACUACAAAAAAACAUGAUGUAAAUGAUGCAUGAUGUAAAACAUGAUGUAAAAAACUUGUGUAGAUCCUCCUCUAUGUCAGUCCAUGUGUAAUUUUUCCAUAAUUCUUUGUUUUUUGCAGCAUUUUUGUUAGUGUAACUGCAGAUUGUGCUGACAGUGUCUAUGGCAAAAAAAAAAAAAAACUGAAAAUGCCUCAACAUGAACCCCUGGUGGUCUCUGAGGGUGAAACCUGCUAACUGCUGCAGCUCUGUCAGCUUCAGUCUCCCAUGCAGAGCUCGGAGCGCAUGUGUGGCUCUGCACCCUUAGCAGCGUUGCUAACUCCUCAGUAAGGAAAGCCUGCUUCAUGUCAGAGUCUCUAAACUCCAGAACUCCAGAAGAAGUCGAUAAAAGUCCCUUUCUUUCUAAAAAAAAGUCAUUAGGGGGUCUGAAAAGUCAUUGAAUCUAACAACAAAGUCGCUAGGUUUGCAACUACGUGUCCCAGACUGCAUCCCUGCUGAGAGUCCCUCCCUCCCUUCUCAAGUUGCAGGAAGAACGCGAGCGCCCGUCCCGUGUCAAUCAGUCACCAUAUCAUUUUGGAUUGGUUGUUGUGGUGAAGUUUUCCACCAAUAGGAGAGAUGUUGUGGUGUGUUUUUUUCUUUUCUUUUGGCAAGUCUUUUCCGCCUGUAAGACCUGUCGCUAAUGUCUGCAUGCUAUGUUUUCCUGUCUCAUACAGCGCGAUCGAGCGCCGAACGUGAUCAAAAUAAGCAGAAAAAAAGUAUCGCGGACAUAAUUUCUCAUAACUCUGGUUUUAUUUGGCCUAUCAAUACAAUUUAAAAACUGGUAUAUAGUUUGAGGUCCUCACUUUUAAGAUAGGUUGAAACGGAGAAUCAACGAGGCUCCGUCUUGCAGCUACAUCCGGUUAAAUAUGUCAUGUGACUUGAACGCUGGGGAACGUCAAUCGACUGCAGAGCCAGCAGACAAAGUAGUUAUGGCCACUGAGAGGCACACAUUUGUCAUAUGCUAUAAUCCUAACAUAUUUAAAUGCUUUUUCUAUUUAAACCUAAUGGAUCUAAGCUUUGACCUUCAAAAUUUAGGAAGAAUAUGUUUUUGCAGUAAUGACCCCCUUAAACAACCAGAGGUCCUUUCCUAAAGUUUAUGGAAAUUUUAGUGAAGGCCUUGGUUUCUUUCCUUGCAAAAUGUAUAGAAAUAAUAAAGCUAAAUACCAUAAAAUGGUCUUGGCGUAUUAGCAGUGAUAUAAAAUAAAACAUAAAAAAAAAAAGAUCAACAGAGCCUUUUUGAGUUGGGAUUCUUUCAUUAUCACACAAAAACAGACAUAGACAGACAUCUAAAGGGUAAGGGAAUGAUCAGCCCUCCUAACUCUCAGAUGAAUCUUCAAAAUUCACCUCAGAAAUAUGCUUAUUAUUCUUCUCAGAGUACUGCAGGACACACACACACACACACACACACACACACACACACACACACACACACUCAGAGUCUUUUUUUUAGCACCUGCAAAAACAUGUUAUUAACAUAUUUGACAAGAAUGCAGAGGCUCCUUUUGCCCCUGAAAAAAAUCAGACUUCAAACACAACUUGACUGGUCAUUUCUCCAAAAGACAACCAUGAAGCUCCAUCCAAACCUGAAGCAGGCAGUUGGUGCAUGUGUACAGUAACCUGAGGGGAGUGAGGUGACUGCUUCUGAGGAGAACAUGAGCAGUGAAGAUUCACCUUGGAGCUACAACAGGGACGUGCACAUGAUAAUACAGGGGCAGGGGCUCAAGUUUUUUCCAGUCAUUUAUACAAUAUGGAAAUUAAUGUGAAAUUAAAAACAAAGUAUUAAUAGAAAGGUAAUGACUGUCCUGUGUAGGUGACAGUGAUAUCCAAUAGGCUAGGCACUCACGAGGCUGGCUGUUGCAAGUGUAAGUGAAAGCAACACGCACUGGCAGGAAGAACAGCAAACACCGAUGAAGGAAAAGGGUCUUUGCAGUGAUGGGCGUUACCAGAGAGGGCGAUGGCCAGAGGACGCGAAUGGGACGGGGAGGCAGCGCGUUGGGGGGGAGGGGGGGGCACACGGCUCGGGCCCGCCAGUGCCCCAACGGGGCCCUAGUUAGGGCCCGAGCGUAGCUGCUAAGCAGCUGCGAGAGCCCUAUUAUUCCCCAAGUGGUUUUUAGGGCCCGAGCGUAGCUGCUAAGCAGCUGCGAGAGCCCUCUUGUUCCUGCAUGUUUCCUUCUUUCGUUAUUAUUUUUCCUCCGCUUUAAACUGGAAAAUGGCCCACUUCCCACUGGCGAAAACUCAGGAAAUUUGGCAGGACGACCGGGCCUGGUGAAAAAUUCGAUAUUCUGAAGUCGCCCAAACAAUAAAAUGCAAAAUGGCUCCAUAGCGCCCCCUAAGGUGAAAAUUCACAUGACGGCUGUACGCUUUGUCAUAUUGACACAAAAAUUGACACACACAUGUAUCUCAAUAAGACCUACAAAAAAGUCAGUGCGGGCGUAUCUGUCAAAUGUACGGUUAAUGGGUUAUUUUGCAUUUUUUGCAGAUCUGCACACAUUGGAAUUUCGCUAACUCCUCCGAAGGCUUUCGUUCGACCGGCACCACAUUUGCGCAGGCCAAUCUACCCCCCAUGGCUAUUAAAAGUUGUACAAAUCAUGACGCUGCACCCCACGGUUUACGUUCUAGGGGGCGCCAAAGAUAACCCAAAAUCCACAUUCUUAAAAGUCUUAUAACUUUUUAUUUUUGUCCUCACUGCCCUCCAAGUUUUCUAGGAUGAUGCAAUGUCCAGCCAUCAACA